UACGUAGGUGGCAAGCGUUAUCCGGAUUUACUGGGUGUAAAGGGCGUGUAGGCGGGAAAGCAAGUCAGAUGUGAAAACCACGGGCUCAACCUGUGGCCUGCAUUUGAAACUGUUUUUCUUGAGUACUGGAGAGGCAGACGGAAUUCCUCGUGUAGCGGUGAAAUGCGUAGAUAUGAGGAGGAACCCCAGUGGCGAAGGCGGUCUGCUGGACAGCAACUGACGCUGAGGCGCGAAAGCGUGGGGAGCAAACAGG
Molecule: ribosomal RNA, 253 nt
Filed under: uncultured bacterium
Lineage: Bacteria
Description: partial 16S ribosomal RNA
Rfam family: Bacterial small subunit ribosomal RNA
Source: RNAcentral